CAGGGUCAUAAACAUAUCUAUACUUAUUAUCCCUUUUUUUCUAAUGAGCUUCCUUUCGACUGAUCAGCAUCAAAGGGAAUACCCACAACAAUUGAUCAGCAUCAAAGGGAAUACCCACAACAAUACAUCAAGAUAUUACCUGAAAUACACUAAUAAGCAAACACUAUUUGGUUGGAAGAUAGAAAAAUCAAUUCCAAGUGCAGUACAUAAGUCCCGAUUGGCCUUUAUGUGAGUUACUCUAUUCCAUUCUGCUAUGACUACUUUGAUAUCUGCAAGCGCAUAAUGAAGCACUCCAUCAUCAGGAAUGAUGAUAUUGGAUUGCUCAACCUAAGCUUUUGCCUUUCUUGGAUUUCUUCUGGAGUUGGAAGCAAAAAUGGCCACCUGUGAAGAACAACUGGUGAGACAAAACGUGGUUAAAGUUUUGCCCAAGACAAGGAUUCUCAAAUAUUAGAUUCUAAACACCUGCUUGAAAUAGUAUCUUAUCGUAUUUUGGCAGCAAGUCUUGAUCAAAGCAUGUAAGCAGUGAAGCAAAUCAGAUGGUAGAUUGUUUAGCUAAUGUAUAGGAUGCUAACAACAGGAUAUCUUUUAUUACGAUG
Long non-coding RNA from Coffea eugenioides, 596 nucleotides. RefSeq lists it as uncharacterized. The transcript has 4 exons. The record is from RefSeq and is a predicted model, not a curated record. NCBI's taxonomy places the organism in Eukaryota, Viridiplantae, Streptophyta, Magnoliopsida, Gentianales, Rubiaceae.